Molecule: long non-coding RNA, 734 nt
Filed under: Nicotiana benthamiana
Lineage: Eukaryota; Viridiplantae; Streptophyta; Magnoliopsida; Solanales; Solanaceae
Description: long non-coding RNA (NBEN_LNC008757)
Source: RNAcentral
GCUGCACAAGAGUACGCUAAAGAGAUUGAAGCGUUGAAGGAACAAACGAGGAGUAUGCUAUUAGCAACUGGAAGGAAGACGGCUGAUACGUUGAAUUUGAUUGACAUUAUUGAACGUCUUGGCAUAUCAUAUCACUUUGAGAAAGAAAUUGAUGAGAUUUUGGAGCAAAUUUACAACCAAACCUCAAACUGCGAUGAUUUGAGCAUUUCUGCACUUCAAUUUCGAUUGCUCAGGCAACAUGAUUUCAACAUCUCUCCUGGUAAUUAAGUUCAUCAAAAAGCGCACCUUAAUGUUGUUAAAAUUAUUAUCAAUUUAUAGGAACUAUUACUUAAUCUUGAGUUUUCUUUCUUGAAAUACCAGAAAUUUUCAGCAAAUUCCAAGAUGAAAAUGGCAAAUUCAAAGAGUCUCUUUCUAGCGAUGUCUUAGGAUUAUUGAACUUGUAUGAAGCUUCACAUGUGAGGACUCAUGCUGACGAUAUCUUAGAAAAUGCACUUGCUUUCUCCAUUAUCCAUCUUGAAUCUGCAACUCCACAUUUGAAAUCUCCACUAAGGGAGCAGGUGACACAUGCCCUUGAGCAAUGUUUACACAAGGGCGUACCUAGAGUCGAGACCCGAUUCUUUAUCUCAUCAAUCUAUGAGAAAGAACAAUCAAAAAAUGAUGUGUUACUUCGAUUUGCAAAAUUGGAUUUCAACUUGCUCCAGAUGUUGCACAAACAAGAACUUGCAGAAGUAUCA